Molecule: ribosomal RNA, 301 nt
Filed under: uncultured bacterium
Lineage: Bacteria
Description: partial 16S ribosomal RNA
Rfam family: Bacterial small subunit ribosomal RNA
Source: RNAcentral
CAGCAGCCGCGGUAAUACGAAGGGGGCUAGCGUUGUUCGGAUUUACUGGGCGUAAAGGGCGCGUAGGCGGACUGAUAAGUCAGGGGUGAAAUCCCAAGGCUCAACCUUGGAACUGCCUUUGAUACUGUUUGUCUUGAGUUCGAGAGAGGUAAGUGGAACUGCGAGUGUAGAGGUGAAAUUCGUAGAUAUUCGCAAGAACACCAGUGGCGAAGGCGGCUUACUGGCUCGAAACUGACGCUGAGGCGCGAAAGCGUGGGGAGCAAACAGGAUUAGAUACCCCCGUAGUCCCUGUCUCUUAUAA